GGCCGCUUCUCAUCCGUACAUCGCCGCCGCGCCGACGUGUUCUAUCGUUCCUCCGCGUUGCAGUCCCUCUACUGGACGUUGGGUGCCAAGCCAGCAGUGUCGCCGCCUGCUUCGGAUUUGGGAGCUCGGCACCGGCAGCUAGGCCUGCCGGCGGAGCACCGGCACGCUGAUAUGGCCAAGCGGGGAUUUCCAGUGUCGGAGCGGCCCCCACCGGCCACUCGGUCGCCCGUACUGCCUACGCUCGCGCUCCAGGACUCCUUGGACACGUUGGUCUGCGCUCGCCGGUGAGGUAAAGCAGCGUCCUGCUCCGGCGGAUAGAAGACGGGGGCAGCAGGCUUUAUUUUGUCCUCUGGUCGGUUCUGCCUUGCAGCUCCGGAUCGUUUCUGCUCUGUACAUUGCAUCUCCCAUCCAGCAGUUCAGUUUGUGGAUUGCAUAUGGUUCCUACCUUCGUUUCACCAGAAAAGAAGCAGUGGCAUUCAAUUAGCAUGCUUGCAGAGCCUCAAAGUUGUGGAGUGAGAUGAUGGGUGGUGUACAAAGCACUCUGCGCAGGGCAUACAGGUUAUGAUGAAUUCAGAGGUUCGAGUGCCAUUUGUGUCCCUCUUAGAAAGAUCGAGGAGAUGAUAGUGGGUAUUCAAUCAGAUUAGUUGGCAUGCCAUGUACUAGACUGAAUGAACUAUUGAGAUCAGGUCAAUGGGCUUCGGACAUUACUUUGACUACUAGAAGAUUUAGGAUGGUUGAUUGUUUUCUGCAAGGCUCAUUCGGACAUUACUAUUAUGUCUGAGAAAUCAAUUCUCAGUCAUUACGUGUGGCAAUGAUGGUGAAAGUAUGUUAUGUAGCUCCUCCAUUGGCUGCAAAUGCUGGAGGUUUUUCAAACUGAGCAGGUAUAUGAUCAUAAUUAAGUCAGAGCGGUGAUCUUUUUUAAAUGUAACAUGGUGCUAUGUACAGUCUAGAUACUGUAGUUGAUACUUGGGAUAUUCGAGACAUAUCUGUGAGAAUUUUAAGGUGUUGCCAAUAAUGUCAUUGUUCAAUGCCUAUUUAUGGCUUUUGUGAUACUAUUUCACAUAUAGAAAUAUAUUUAUAUUUUUUCUAUAGUGUCGUCAGAAUUGAUUACACCGCUCUGUCAAUACCUCUUAAUACAACUUUUAUAAUUAAAGCAUUUUUCUAUCAUUUUAUAUGAAAAUGUUGUUAAUAAUUUUCGAUUAAGAAAAUAGAUUGUAUUUAUGGUCUACAUUGGUGUCCAGGUACCAGGUUACAUAUAUUCUAUUUCAUUCAAAAACUUUCACAAUAUGAUUUCAUUUCAUUCAUAAAUUCAAGAGUCUUAGGCCUUACAUACAACCCUCUAUAAGCGCUUAGAAACUAACGGAUUUAAUUCUCAAGAGUCUUAGCCCUUAGAACCUGGUCACUUAAAUAUGCUUUAUUGGGCACAUAUAUGCUACUGAUGUUUGCAUCCACAGUUUUCGAGAAUUGCUCCCUAACUGAAUAAGUAGCCAUUUAUGUACAUAAACUACAACUUCAAGAUAUCUUGGUCUUUUAGAUUGAUACAUGAAUGCACUAGCUAGAUAGUGCUGCGGAAUUAUAUAUGAGCUAUGGAAGAAACAAGUUUAUUAUCCGAUAGACUAAUUUUUAUAGGUGCAUAUGAAUUUAGCCAGCAUAGCACAAUUCUCCCACUCUUCCUUACCACAAGCCCCUCUUUCAAGAUACAGGGCUAAAAGACUUAGAAUUCCUGACUGUCUAUUUGAUUCUAGCGGAAUCAUGAAUGUCUGCUAUCAUUGUUGGAUUGUUAUGUUAUGUCCCUAAAGAGGGCAUGUUAAGGAAUAUUUGCAUCAUUUAGACAGGAUCAUUUUUGUCUUGUUCUUACUUACAAUAAGCUCUGCUCAGAAAUUUUGAUUUUUUUCAGUCAUUUAAAUUCAGGGCCGAGUUAUCGAUCUAGCAGCCUGAUUGUGCCAGUGAAAACGCUGCAACACUGGGUUAUUGGCUUCUAGAAAAUAGUUUGUAGUCAAUAUCAAGCACAUGUAGCAUCUUGGUCAUGCAGCGUUGGCUGGCAUCAUUCAGAGGCUACCUGACGGAUCCCACAAUUUAAUAUCUCUUAAGGAUUGCUUCGAGGGUUUUACAAUUUUUCUUACAUAUAUCUUACUGGUGAGACACUGCAAAAAAAAAGCAUCACUAUAACUGAAUAUCAAUGCAAUAGUCACCCCCUUGAAUAGCAAUGUCUCCUUAUGUGUGCUAUUUUUCAUUUCAGUCACACCAAUUUUAUGAUCAAAACAUGAAAGC
Long non-coding RNA from Lolium perenne, 2271 nucleotides. RefSeq lists it as uncharacterized. NCBI's taxonomy places the organism in Eukaryota, Viridiplantae, Streptophyta, Magnoliopsida, Poales, Poaceae. The record is from RefSeq and is a predicted model, not a curated record.